RNAcentral lists this ribosomal RNA (478 nucleotides) under uncultured bacterium. Its description in RNAcentral is "partial 16S ribosomal RNA". It matches the Rfam family "Bacterial small subunit ribosomal RNA", at positions 28 to 523 of the family's 1533-position model. The record is from RNAcentral.
GACGAACGCUGGCGGCGUGCUUAACACAUGCAAGUCGAACGGUAAGGCCCUUCGGGGUACACGAGUGGCGAACGGGUGAGUAACACGUGGGUGAUCUGCCCUGCACUUUGGGAUAAGCCUGGGAAACUGGGUCUAAUACCGGAUAGGACCAUUGCCUGCAUGGGUGGUGGUGGAAAGCUUUUGGGGUGUGGGAUGGGGCCGCGGCCUAUCAGCUUGUUGGUGGGGUGAUGGCCUACCAAGGCGACGACGGGUAGCCGGGCUGGGAGGGUGACCGGCCACACUGGGACUGAGAUGCGGCCCAGACUCGUACGGGAGGCAGCAGUGGAGAAUAUUGCACAAUGGGCGCAAGCCUGAUGCAGCGACGCCGCGUGAGGGAUGACGGCCUUCGGGUUGUAAACCUCUUUCAGCACCGACGAAGCGCAGGUGACGGUAGGUGAAGAAGAAGGACCGGCCAACUACGUGCCAGCAGCCGCGGUAA